Molecule: ribosomal RNA, 493 nt
Filed under: uncultured bacterium
Lineage: Bacteria
Description: bacterial SSU rRNA
Rfam family: Bacterial small subunit ribosomal RNA
Source: RNAcentral
CCAGACAGGUGGUGCGUGGUUGUCGUCAGCUCGUGUCGUGAGAUGUUGGGUUAAGUCCCGCAACGAGCGCAACCCUUGUAUUCAGUUGCUACGCAAGAGCACUCUGGAUAGACUGCCGUUGACAAAACGGAGGAAGGUGGGGAUGACGUCAAAUCAUCAUGCCCCUUACGACCUGGGCCACACACGUACUACAAUGGCGCACAACAGAGGGAAGCAAGACAGCGAUGUGGAGCAAACCCCUAAAAUGCGUCCCAGUUCAGAUUGCAGGCUGCAACCCGCCUGCAUGAAGUCGGAAUUGCUAGUAAUCGCGGAUCAGCAUGCCGCGGUGAAUACGUUCCCGGGCCUUGUACACACCGCCCGUCACACCAUGGGAGCCGGUAACACCCGAAGUCAGUAGCCUGACCGCAAGGAGGGCGCUGCCGAAGGUGGGAUUGGUGACUGGGGUGAAGUCGUAACAAGGUAGCCGUAUCGGAAGGUGCGGCUGGAUCACCUC